UGGUUCUCGCAUCGAUGAAGAACGCAGCGAAAUGCGAUAAGUAAUGUGAAUUGUAGAAUUCAGUGAAUCAUCGAAUCUUUGAACGCACCUUGCACUCCUUGGUAUUCCGAGGAGUAUGCCUGUUCGAGUGUCAUGAAACUCUCAAACCGCAUCUUUGUUGAUGUCGGGCUUGGAUUUGGGCGUUGCAGGGCGUGAGUCCGGCUCGUCUCGAAAACAUUAGCUGGCGAUUUCGAUUUCAGUUAAACCGUGUGAUAAUACAUCUACGCGGGCAGCCUCAAAGGCGCUGGGUCAUCACUCAAAGGCUUCCAAUCGUCCUCUGCCGGGGACUGCCUUCGGGCAAAUUCAUUUCACAUCUGGCCUCGAAUCAGGUAGGACUACCCGCUGA
This 385-nucleotide unclassified non-coding RNA is filed under the name uncultured fungus. RNAcentral's name for it is "partial contains 5.8S ribosomal RNA and internal transcribed spacer 2". The stretch from base 1 to 133 matches the Rfam family "5.8S ribosomal RNA", at positions 22 to 154 of the family's 154-position model. The record is from RNAcentral. Lineage: Eukaryota; Fungi.